AUAAACCUCUGAACCUCUGGUUGCUGAGUUCUGAGCAGAAUCAGAAGCUCCUGCUCUUCCAACGGUGCUGAGGAACUUGCCACCGCACAACUGGCGUCGGAGCUACAUCUUGGGGUGAAAAAUACUCCCAGAAUCCACAUACCACAUCAGAGGGAGUUGGAACUACCCUGCCUGUGUGGUUUGUUACCCACUAACUGUUAACAUUGAUUAGAACACGGGAAUUGGGCUUUCUCCAAUUGUCACCCCCAGGAUUCUCACAAGCUGGAUGUAUACGAAGUAAAAUGACCUUCUUAAUUAGAGGAAAACUAUCCAAGUAGGUGGCAGAGGGAAGCACACAACCAAAGUGGCAUCCAAUCUGAUACAGCAGAUGAAAAUUCCCCUUUCUCAUCUGAGAAUUGUUAUCUGCUUUCCCAAGACAUUAUUUCUACAAACUCUG
Delphinapterus leucas (beluga whale) is the source of this 436-nucleotide non-coding RNA. The record is from RefSeq and is a predicted model, not a curated record. NCBI's taxonomy places the organism in Eukaryota, Metazoa, Chordata, Mammalia, Artiodactyla, Monodontidae.